This 274-nucleotide ribosomal RNA is filed under the name uncultured bacterium. RNAcentral describes it as "partial 16S ribosomal RNA". It matches the Rfam family "Bacterial small subunit ribosomal RNA", at positions 523 to 796 of the family's 1533-position model. The record is from RNAcentral.
AUACGGAGGGUGCAAGCGUUAUUCGGAAUCACUGGACGUAAAGGACGCGUAGGCGGGUUGGCAAGUCAGAUGUGAAAUCCUACAGCUUAACUGUAGAACUACAUUUGAAACUGCUAACCUAGAGUAUGGGAGGGGGAGAUGGAAUUAGUGGUGUAGGGGUAAAAUCCGUAGAUAUCACUAGGAAUACCGAAAGCGAAGGCGAUCUCCUGGAACAUAACUGACGCUAAGGCGUGAAAGCGUGGGGAGCAAACAGGAUUAGAAACCCUAGUAGUCC